AGUGAACGCUGGCGGUAGGCCUAACACAUGCCAGUCGAACGGCAGCACAGUAAUAGCUUGCUCUUACGGGUGGCGAGUGGCGGACGGUUGAGGAAUACAUCGGAAUCUACUUUUUCGUGGGGGAUAACGUAGGGAAACUUACGCUAAUACCGCAUACGACCUACGGGUGAAAGCAGGGGAUCUUCGGACCUUGCGCGAUUGAAUGAGCCGAUGUCGGAUUAGUUAGUUGGCGGGGUAAAGGCCCACCAAGGCGACGAUCCGUUGCUGGUCUGAGAGGAUGAUCAGCCACACUGGAACUGAGACACGGUCCAGACUCCCACGGGAGGCAGCAGUGGGGAAUAUUGGACAAUGGGCGAAAGCCUGAUCCAGCCAUACCGCGUGGGUGAAGAAGGCCUUCGGGUUGUAAAGCCCUUUUGGUGGGAAAGAAAAGCAGCAGGUUAAUACCCCGCUGUUCUGACGGUACCCAAAGAAUAAGCACCGGCUAACUUCGUG
Molecule: ribosomal RNA, 492 nt
Filed under: uncultured bacterium
Lineage: Bacteria
Description: partial 16S ribosomal RNA
Rfam family: Bacterial small subunit ribosomal RNA
Source: RNAcentral